GUGCUGGCGCAGCUACCAUGCAGUCGAGCGGUAACAGAUCCAGCUUGCUGGAUGCUGACGAGCGGCGGACGGGUGAGUAAUGCAUAGGAAUCUGCCCGAUAGUGGGGGAUAACCUGGGGAAACCCAGGCUAAUACCGCAUACGUCCUACGGGAGAAAGGGGGCUCCGGCUCCCGCUAUCGGAUGAGCCUAUGUCGGAUUAGCUAGUUGGUGAGGUAACGGCUCACCAAGGCGACGAUCCGUAGCUGGUCUGAGAGGAUGAUCAGCCACAUCGGGACUGAGACACGGCCCGAACUCCUACGGGAGGCAGCAGUGGGGAAUAUUGGACAAUGGGGGGAACCCUGAUCCAGCCAUGCCGCGUGUGUGAAGAAGGCCCUCGGGUUGUAAAGCACUUUCAGCGAGGAAGAACGCCUAGCGGUUAAUACCCGCUAGGAAAGACAUCACUCGCAGAAGAAGCACCGGCUAACUCCGUGCCAGCAGCCGCGGUAAUACGGAGGGUGCAAGCGUUAAUCG
Molecule: ribosomal RNA, 511 nt
Filed under: Halomonas sp.
Lineage: Bacteria; Pseudomonadati; Pseudomonadota; Gammaproteobacteria; Oceanospirillales; Halomonadaceae
Description: bacterial SSU rRNA
Rfam family: Bacterial small subunit ribosomal RNA
Source: RNAcentral